This 405-nucleotide ribosomal RNA is filed under the name uncultured bacterium. Its description in RNAcentral is "partial 16S ribosomal RNA". It matches the Rfam family "Bacterial small subunit ribosomal RNA", at positions 30 to 526 of the family's 1533-position model. The record is from RNAcentral.
AUUGAACGCUGGCGGCAGGCUUAACACAUGCAAGUCGAACGAGUGGCGGACGGGUGAGUAAUGCUUGGGAAUCUAGCUUAUGGAGGGGGAUAACUACGGGAAACGGUAGCUAAUACCGCGGACCCUAGGAUGAACCCAGGUGGGAUUAGGUAGUUGUGGGGGUAAAGGCCCCACAAGCCGACGAUUUCUAGCUGGGCUGAGAGGAUGACCAGCCACCCUGGGACUUAGAAACGGCCCAGACUCCUACGGGAGGCAGAAGUGGGGAAUAUUGCGCAAUGGGGGCAACCUGACGCAGCCAUGCCGAGUGAAGGAAGAAGGCCUUCGGGUUGUAAAGUUCUUUCGGUAGCGAGGCGUUAACUACAGAAGAAGCACCGGCUAACUCCGGGCCAGCAGCCGCGGUAAUAC